This 407-nucleotide ribosomal RNA is filed under the name uncultured prokaryote. RNAcentral describes it as "bacterial SSU rRNA". It matches the Rfam family "Bacterial small subunit ribosomal RNA", at positions 355 to 776 of the family's 1533-position model. The record is from RNAcentral. RNAcentral also lists the same sequence under 1 other name.
UGGGGAAUAUUGGGCAAUGGGCGAAAGCCUUACCCAGCAAUGCCGCGUGAGUGAAGAAGGUCUUCGGAUUGUAAAGCUCUUUGAUUAGGGACGAAUAAAUGACGGUACCUAAAGAACAAGCCCCGGCUAACUACGUGCCAGCAGCCGCGGUAAUACGUAGGGGGCAAGCGUUGUCCGGAAUGACUGGGCGUAAAGGGUGUGUAGGCGGUUGACUAAGUUGGAAGUGUAAUACCCAGGGCUUAACCCGGGUGCUGCUUCCAAAACUGGCCGACUUGAGUGCAGUAGAGGAAAGUGGAAUUCCUAGUGUAGCGGUGGAAUGCGUAGAUAUUAGGAGGAACACCAGUGGCGAAGGCGGCUUUCUGGACUGUAACUGACGCUGAGGCACGAAAGCGUGGGGAGCAAACAGG